UACAGAGGGGGCAAGCGUUGUUCGGAAUUACUGGGCGUAAAGGGCGCGUAGGUGGCGGCGCAAGUCCAUGGUGAAAGCUCGAUGCUCAACAUCGAGUCGGCCACGGAGACUGCGGGGCUCGAGCACUGUAGGGGCAGAUGGAAUUCCGGGUGUAGCGGUGGAAUGCGUAGAGAUCCGGAAGAACACCGGUGGCGAAGGCGGUCUGCUGGGCAGUUGCUGACACUGAGGCGCGACAGCGUGGGGAGCAAACAGG
Molecule: ribosomal RNA, 253 nt
Filed under: uncultured bacterium
Lineage: Bacteria
Description: partial 16S ribosomal RNA
Rfam family: Bacterial small subunit ribosomal RNA
Source: RNAcentral